UGUGAAUUUGUUUGUGGUAACACAAUUAAUAAAUGGAAUAAUUUUGACUGUGUUGAAUGUUUGGUCUCCAAGGUAAAGGUCAUAAAAGGUCAACAUCUAUUGGAUUCUAAGACAUAUGACAUAUAUUAUCCUGUAACAUAAUAACUAAGUAUGACAGAUGGUGCAAACUAUUCUUUAUUAGAACCCUAUUAACCCAAACAAUAAUUUGCAUCUUUUUUUUUUACUGAAUUUUAGCAACUUUAACU
Long non-coding RNA from Thalassophryne amazonica, 245 nucleotides. RefSeq lists it as uncharacterized. NCBI's taxonomy places the organism in Eukaryota, Metazoa, Chordata, Actinopteri, Batrachoidiformes, Batrachoididae. The transcript has 4 exons. The record is from RefSeq and is a predicted model, not a curated record.